AACCAAAUAUGGUAACUCCUUUAAAGAUGAUAUAUUGAUGUCCAAUAUUCGCGAGAUGUACCUUAUCAUGGACAGCAGCUGCAUUCCAGUUAAAAUUUUUGAUAUCAGGCAACUGGGAUUAUGGUAACAUUAAAUUAGCGACUAUUAACGUGCCAGCAGUCGCGUCACACGUUAGCUAAAAGGGAUAAUACAGGAGCUUCAGCUAUUGAUCUGCUUUGGCGUAGUGAAAUGCGAACCAGCAUAAUAUCUAUAAAUAGUGUACUGAAGUGUGACAACGGGAUAGACACCUCUAUGCACCUAUAUGCAACGCCCUGGGGACUACAAGAACACUUCAAACUCAAUCAACAUGGCGGUUGUUCAAACAUUUAGGGGAACUUACUAGGUAAAUGAUACUCAUCAAGAAAGUCUACAAUCACUAUAUUUUGCAUACCGUCGUCGUCAGAUAUCUUAUAAUAAGACGUCAAAAGCUUAGAAGAAAAGACAGAUCAAGCGUAGAUAACGUGGUUGACUCAGCGAGUUACUAUGACAAUUCAACUCACUAUUUUUAGCACAAGUGUUUUUAAGCAGUGCAGGACUUAAAAAGUAAUAUAUAUUUAGUAUACUAUAUGAAUACUUCUUGAACUGUGCACAAAUCGCCCGUCACUCUCGAAACUAUUUGAAGAUAAGUCGUAACAUAGUAGAAGUAGCGGAAGCUGCUUCUAAUGCGCCCG
RNAcentral lists this non-coding RNA (710 nucleotides) under Cepaea nemoralis (banded wood snail). Lineage: Eukaryota; Metazoa; Mollusca; Gastropoda; Stylommatophora; Helicidae. The record is from RNAcentral.